Molecule: ribosomal RNA, 328 nt
Filed under: uncultured eukaryote
Lineage: Eukaryota
Description: partial 18S ribosomal RNA
Rfam family: Eukaryotic small subunit ribosomal RNA
Source: RNAcentral
CCCUUAGAUGUCCGGGGCUGCACGCGCGCUACACUGAAGGAAUCAGCGUGCUAAAACCAUUGUCGAAGGGCAUUGGUAAACCCAUUAAAAUCCUACGUGAUUGGGAUCGGGAAUUGCAAUUAUUUCCCUUGAACGAGGAAUUCCCAGUAAGUGUGGGUCAUAAGCUCGCGUUGAUUACGUCCCUGCCCUUUGUACACACCGCCCGUCGCUGCCCGGGACUGAGCCGUUUCGAGAAAAGCGGGGACUGCUGCUGUCGGGGCUUUCGGGCCUUGGCUUCGGUGGAAACCGCUUUAAUCGCAGUGGCUUGAACCGGGCAAAANUCGUANCA